UGUAUUGUUUCACAGUCGGUAAACUUUUUGCUAAGGUAAAUUGCAUGCUCUUUUCGACGAGACUCGUCAUGCUGCCCCAAUACACCUCGUAGACCCCUCGAAGGCCGUCAAGUACAGAUUGACAAUUGCUCCUUCCACAGGAGACAUCGGAAUCAGAGGUUCCUGCAACUUAUCCUUUUAUUUUUUAAUGCCCCUUGGCAAUCAUUAUUUCACCUGACCGUUUAAUCUUUUUUUUUUCAACAUCUUGAAUAUAGGUUCGCACGUGGCUGUUAGGU
RNAcentral lists this long non-coding RNA (275 nucleotides) under Lathyrus oleraceus (garden pea). Its description in RNAcentral is "Pisum sativum (pea) long non-coding RNA (PSAT_LNC003563)". Lineage: Eukaryota; Viridiplantae; Streptophyta; Magnoliopsida; Fabales; Fabaceae. The record is from RNAcentral.